GCUUUACUGUAGCCUGGUAUUGGGUUCGGGCUUGGCUUGCGCAGGAUAGGUGGGAGGCUAUGAAGUUGCCCUUGUGGGGGNCAAUGGAGCCAACAGUGAGAUACCACUCUAGCCAGGCUAGAAUUCUAACCGCUUGCCGUUAUNNNCCGGCAGUGGAACCGUAUCAGGUGGGCAGUUUGACUGGGGCGGUCGCCUCCUAAAAGGUAACGGAGGCGCACAAAGGUUUCCUCAGGCUGGUUGGAAAUCAGCCGCAGAGUGUAAAGGCAANAAGGAAGCUUGACUGCAAGAGCGACAACUCANAGCAGGGUGGAAACACNGGUCUUAGUGAUCCGACGGCACUNGCGUGGAAGGGCCGUCGCUCAACGGAUAAAAGUUA
Molecule: ribosomal RNA, 376 nt
Filed under: cyanobacterium 63.1
Lineage: Bacteria; Bacillati; Cyanobacteriota
Description: partial 23S large subunit ribosomal RNA
Rfam family: Bacterial large subunit ribosomal RNA
Source: RNAcentral